This 1294-nucleotide long non-coding RNA is filed under the name Meleagris gallopavo (turkey). RNAcentral's name for it is "lncRNA (ENSMGAG00000021561.1)". The record is from RNAcentral. Lineage: Eukaryota; Metazoa; Chordata; Aves; Galliformes; Phasianidae.
GGCAGCCGUGGCGCUGGCGCUGGCGGCCACCUGGCCCAUGAUGCGCUCCUUCAGCACGUCCUACGUUCAGGAGGCACUGAUCACUGAUCUCUGCGACAUCGACAGCAGCUACAUGCGGGCGCCCGAUUCCUGCUUCUGGGUGGCGGAGGCCGACGGGGCGGUGGUGGGAAUGGUGGCUGUGGCCCCGCCUCAGGACCCGGCACAGCGCGGGGAGGCCCUGGAGCUGAAGCGGAUGUCGGUCAGCAAGGAUCACCGUGGCCGUGGCAUCUCCAAGGCGCUGUGCGGGGAGGUGCUGCGCUUCGCCCAGGCGCGAGGCUACAGAGCUGUGAUGCUGUACACCUCCGUAGUGCAGGUGGUGGCCCAGCGGCUGUACGAGAGGCAGGGCUUCAGGAAGGUGGGUGCCAGCAGCCCCUCGCUGCUUGCCAGCCUGGUCUCCUUCCAGAUCUUCCAGUACCGCUGUGAGCUGCCCGGCCGCCGCUAGGGCCUCCCCUGUUCCUGUAGCACUGAGAAAUAAACAGAGACUGUGGAAGGGUGCGAUGAGCGUGUCGUGGAUGCCGUGUGGCUGUUCUGUGUGCGGCAUCGCGCCUCCAUGUGGCUCAGGCCCACACCGUGAGCUCGGCCCAGCACGGCGCUGUGCUGCUCUGCCCUUCCUCGGGGCCUGCCCAGCCCCGCAUGGCAUCGCUGCACUGUGGCUGCCCACAGUUCGGUGCUGGGGGCCUUUUGGGGUCCGCUGGGCCUCGUGCUGUGCCCCCACCAGCACGGCCGUGCUGUGUCAGUGCUGUGUGGGCAGGGGAAGGCGGAGGUGCGGGGCAGGGCCUGUGGGUGGCAGGGGCACUGCUGUCCCAGAACGCAGGAACAGAUUCCCGCUGAGCUCUGUGCGCAGGGGUGUGAGUGGGGACGGGGAAUGCUGGUGGCUGGGUGAGACCGACCGCAGGACUCGGGCUGCGGACAGGACGGGACAGAGCCCGCGCUGGGAUGGCGGCUGCAGCCUUAUUCAAGAUGGCGGCGUUUCCCCUUCCCUCUGGUCCUGCCCUCACUCAAGAUGGCGGCGUUUCCCCUUCCCUCUGAUCUUGCCCUCACUCAAGAUGGCGGCGUUUCCCUUUCCCUCUGGCCUGCCCUCAUUCAAGAUGACGGCCGCCGUGGCGUCCGUCGUCACGCGGAGGGCGGAAGCGCAGCCUGAACUGAACCCAGCUGAGCUGAGCGGAGUCGCCGGGAGGGCCCGGCUCCGGCCGGCACCAUGGACUGCUACACGGCCAACUGGAACCCGCUGGGCGAAGAGGCCUUCUACCGCAAG